AGAAAUUUAGGUUAACAACAAACCAAGAGCCUUUAAAGCCCUAAACACGAGCAAACAAACCUCUUAAUUUUUG
Molecule: transfer RNA, 73 nt
Filed under: Hemidactylus greeffii (Greeffs giant gecko)
Lineage: Eukaryota; Metazoa; Chordata; Lepidosauria; Squamata; Gekkonidae
Description: tRNA-Trp
Source: RNAcentral